GAUGAACGCUAGCGGCAGGCCUAACACAUGCAAGUCGAGGGAGAAGCCCUUCGGGGCAGAAACCGGCGCACGGGUGCGUAACGCGUAUGCAACCUACCUUUCACAGGGGGAUAGCCCGAAGAAAUUUGGAUUAAUACCCCAUAAUAUUAUUGGAUGGCAUCAUUUGAUAAUUAAAAUUACGAUGGUGAAAGAUGGGCAUGCGUCCUAUUAGCUAGUUGGAGUGGUAACGGCACCCCAAGGCUACGAUAGGUAGGGGUCCUGAGAGGGAGAUCCCCCACACUGGUACUGAGACAGGGACCAGACUCCUACGGGAGGCAGCAGUGAGGAAUAUUGGUCAAUGGUCGGAAGACUGAACCAGCCAUGCCGCGUGCAGGAAGAAUGCCUUAUGGG
Molecule: ribosomal RNA, 390 nt
Filed under: uncultured bacterium
Lineage: Bacteria
Description: bacterial SSU rRNA
Rfam family: Bacterial small subunit ribosomal RNA
Source: RNAcentral